RNAcentral lists this microRNA precursor (78 nucleotides) under Schistosoma margrebowiei. RNAcentral describes it as "mir-3492 microRNA precursor family". It matches the Rfam family "mir-3492 microRNA precursor family". The record is from Rfam by way of RNAcentral. Lineage: Eukaryota; Metazoa; Platyhelminthes; Trematoda; Strigeidida; Schistosomatidae.
AGCAUUCUGAGUCCGUGUCGAGACUUCGUCAGAUGCCAUACUAUCAGUACUGAUGAAACUCCUAAGAUAAGUCAAGGA